AGCGAACGCUGGCGGCAGGCCUAACACAUGCAAGUCGAACGCACCUUCGGGUGAGUGGCGGACGGGUGAGUAACACGUGGGAACGUACCUUUUGGUUCGGAACAACACAGGGAAACUUGUGCUAAUACCGGAUGGGCCCUAUGGGGGAAAGAUUUAUCGCCGAAAGAGCGGCCCGCGUUAGAUUAGCUAGUUGGUGGGGUAAAGGCCCACCAAGGCUCCGAUCUAUAGCUGGUCUGAGAGGAUGANCAGCCACACUGGGACUGAGACACGGCCCAGACUCCUACGGGAGGCAGCAGUGGGGAAUCUUGCGCAAUGGGCGAAAGCCUGACGCAGCCAUGCCGCGUGAAUGAUGAAGGUCUUAGGAUUGUAAAAUUCUUUUAGCAGGGACGAUAAUGACGGUACCUGCAAG
This 409-nucleotide ribosomal RNA is filed under the name uncultured bacterium. RNAcentral describes it as "bacterial SSU rRNA". It matches the Rfam family "Bacterial small subunit ribosomal RNA", at positions 29 to 485 of the family's 1533-position model. The record is from RNAcentral.